CUUCCGGCGUCACUUCCCACGCGACCUCCUGCGGGAAACAUGGCGGCUCUCGGCGGCGUCCGCUGGUUGACCCGAGCGCUGGUUGCUGCCCCGAACCCGGGGGCAUGGCGGAGCCUGGGUACCUCGGCGGUGGCGCACGCCGCCUCGCGGAGCCAGGCCGAGGAUGUAAGGGUGGAGGGCGCCUUUCCCGUGACCAUGCUCCCAGGAGACGGUGUGGGGCCUGAGCUGAUGCACGCUGUCAAGGAGGUGUUCAAGGCUGCCUCUGUCCCGGUGGAGUUCCAGGAACAUCACCUGAGCGAGGUACAGAAUAUGGCAUCUGAGGAGAAGCUGGAGCAGGUGCUGAGUUCCAUGAAGGAGAACAAGGUGGCCAUCAUUGGAAAGAUCCACACCCCGAUGGAAUAUAAGGGGGAAUUAGCCUCCUACGAUAUGCGGCUGAGGCGUAAGUUGGACUUGUUUGCCAAUGUAGUCCAUGUGAAGUCACUUCCUGGGUAUAAGACUCGACACAACAAUUUAGAUCUGGUGAUCAUUCGGGAGCAGACAGAAGGGGAAUACAGCUCUCUGGAACAUGAGAGUGCAAGGGGUGUGAUUGAGUGCUUGAAGAUUGUCACUCGAACCAAAUCUCAGCGGAUUGCAAAGUUCGCCUUCGACUACGCCACUAAGAAGGGGCGGAGCAAGGUCACGGCUGUCCACAAGGCCAACAUCAUGAAACUUGGGGAUGGGUUAUUCCUGCAGUGCUGUGAGGAAGUUGCUGAACUGUACCCCAAAAUCAAGUUUGAGACAAUGAUCAUAGACAACUGCUGCAUGCAGCUGGUACAGAAUCCUUACCAGUUUGAUGUGCUGGUGAUGCCCAAUCUCUAUGGGAACAUUAUCGACAAUCUGGCUGCUGGCUUGGUUGGGGGAGCUGGUGUGGUCCCCGGUGAGAGCUACAGUGCAGAGUACGCAGUCUUUGAGACGGGUGCCCGGCACCCAUUUGCCCAGGCAGUGGGCAGGAAUAUAGCCAACCCCACCGCUAUGCUGUUGUCAGCUUCCAACAUGCUGCGGCAUCUCAAUCUCGAGUAUCACUCCAACAUGAUUGCAGAUGCCGUGAAGAAGGUGAUCAAAGUGGGCAAGGUGCGGACUCGAGACAUGGGCGGCUACAGCACCACAACCGACUUCAUCAAGUCUGUCAUCGGCCACCUGCACCCUUAUGGGGGCUAGAGCCCUUUAGUCCCUCCAACCUCACAAGGACCAUACUACCUACAUCUCCCUUCAGUACAGUGGACCAGAGAAGAGCCCUUAACCUGACCAUAACCAUCACCUGGGCAGAGCCUAGGUUCGAACUUCUGACAUGGGUGGCUAUGCUACCUGCCAAGACUUCACUGAGGCUGUCAUUGAUGCCCUGUCCUGCCCAUAGGUCCCACCCACACCUGUUUAAGGUGUCUCAAUAAAACAUGUAUAUCGACUCUU
This is an RNA transcript of Equus quagga, 1446 nucleotides long. It is a transcript of the gene named isocitrate dehydrogenase (NAD(+)) 3 non-catalytic subunit beta, with no coding region annotated. Lineage: Eukaryota; Metazoa; Chordata; Mammalia; Perissodactyla; Equidae. The record is from RefSeq and is a predicted model, not a curated record. The transcript is spliced from 13 exons.